Molecule: long non-coding RNA, 358 nt
Organism: Rosa chinensis
Lineage: Eukaryota; Viridiplantae; Streptophyta; Magnoliopsida; Rosales; Rosaceae
Exons: 3
Source: RefSeq, a predicted model, not a curated record
GAUUCUCAACAAAUACUUUCCCCAGCUGGGACCUUAUUAGCCACAAUGGAGAAAUCAAUACCCUUAGAGGAAAUGUUAACUGGAUGAAGGCACGUGAGGGACUACUUAAGUGUACUAACUUGGUUUAUCAAAAAAUGAGUUAAAGAAGCUGUUACCAAUUGUGGAUGCCAGUUCAUCCGAUUCUGCUUCUCAAAAGAUUUUACUAUUCAUAAGGCACACGACAUACUUCUGUUAUGACGCCUCCUCAGAUUCUUUUGGAUGCCUUAAGAAAGGCAUUCUUGACCAUAGAAGCAGUAUGCUUGAUGGUUAUGGAUGAGUGCCAUCGGGCUACCGGAAGCCACCCUUAUACAAAGAUAAU